CUAAGUUUAAGCACCUAAACGGCGAAACUGCGAAUGGCUCAUUAAAUCAGUUAUCGUAUAUUUGAUAGUACCUACUACAUGGAUAACCGUGGUAAUUCUAGAGCUAAUACAUGCUUAAAAUCCCGACUUCGGAAGGGAUGUAUUUAUUAGAUUAAAAACCAAUGCCCUUCGGGGCUCACUGGUGAUUCAUAAUAACUUCUCGAAUCGCAUGGCCUUGUGCCGGCGAUGGUUCAUUCAAAUUUCUGCCCUAUCAACUUUCGACGGCUGGGUCUUGGCCAGCCGUGGUUACAACGGGUAACGGAGGGUUAGGGCUUGACCCCGGAGAAGGAGCCUGAGAAACGGCUACUACAUCCAAGGAAGGCAGCAGGCGCGCAAAUUACCCAAUCCCGAUACGGGGAGGUAGUGACAAUAAAUACUGAUACAGGGCUCUUUUGGGUCUUGUAAUUGGAAUGAGUACAAUUUAAAUCCCUUAACGAGGAACAAUUGGAGGGCAAGUCUGGUGCCAGCAGCCGCGGUAAUUCCAGCUCCAAUAGCGUAUAUUAAAGUUGUUGCAGUUAAAAAGCUCGUAGUUGAACCUUGGGCCUGGCUGGCCGGUCUGCCUCACCGCAUGCACUGGUCCGGCCGGGCCUUUCCCUCUGGGGAGCCGCAUGCCCUUCACUGGGUGUGUCGGGGAACCAGGACUUUUACUGUGAAAAAAUUAGAGUGUUCAAAGCAGGCCUAUGCUCGAAUACAUUAGCAUGGAAUAAUAGAAUAGGACGUUGCGGUUCUAUUUUGUUGGUUUCUAGGACCGCCGUAAUGAUUAAUAGGGACAGUCGGGGGCAUCAGUAUUCAAUCGUCAGAGGUGAAAUUCUUGGAUCGAUUGAAGACUAACUACUGCGAAAGCAUUUGCCAAGGAUGUUUUCAUUAAUCAGGAACGAAAGUUAGGGGAUCGAAAACGAUCAGAUACCGUUGUAGUCUUAACCAUAAACUAUGCCGACUAGGGAUCGGGCGAUGUUUUUCUUUGACUCGCUCGGCACCUUACACGAAAGUAAAGUUUUUGGGUUCUGGGGGGAGUAUGGUCG
This 1061-nucleotide ribosomal RNA is filed under the name Chrysoporthe deuterocubensis. Its description in RNAcentral is "SSU rRNA". It matches the Rfam family "Eukaryotic small subunit ribosomal RNA", at positions 59 to 1131 of the family's 1831-position model. Lineage: Eukaryota; Fungi; Ascomycota; Sordariomycetes; Diaporthales; Cryphonectriaceae. The record is from RNAcentral.